CACUACUUGGUGUGACUGAGAAGGUUAAUUAGGAGUAAUUGAACUCAAUUAAACUCUAGAAUCAAAUAUAGUCGAAAAGGUUAAUUAUAUCCUAAUGUCAAUUAGAUUCUAAAUCAAUUAAAAUCUAAAUCAAUUAAACUCUAAAUCAAUUAAAAUCUCAAUCAAUUAAAAUCUAAAUCAAUUAAAUUCUAAAUCAAUUAAAAUAUGAAAGAGAAAAUAAUUUAAAGAUUUUUGGUGAAAGUCCCAUAUUUUUUGGAUUAAAAAUGAAAUUAAUAUGAA
RNAcentral lists this long non-coding RNA (279 nucleotides) under Lathyrus oleraceus (garden pea). RNAcentral describes it as "Pisum sativum (pea) long non-coding RNA (PSAT_LNC030403)". Lineage: Eukaryota; Viridiplantae; Streptophyta; Magnoliopsida; Fabales; Fabaceae. The record is from RNAcentral.